AGGGUUUGAUUCUGGCUCAGGAUGAACGCUGGCGGCGUGCUUAACACAUGCAAGUCGAACGAACCUUCGGGUUAGUGGCGGACGGGUGAGUAACGCGUGAGAAUCUGCCCUCAGGAGGGGGAUAACGGUUGGAAACGACCGCUAAUACCCCAUAUGCCUACUGGUGAAAUGAAUUUCGCCUGAGGAUGAGCUCGCGUCUGAUUAGCUAGUUGGUGAGGUAAUGGCUCACCAAGGCUUCGAUCAGUAGCUGGUCUGAGAGGAUGAUCAGCCACACUGGGACUGAGACACGGCCCAGACUCCUACGGGAGGCAGCAGUGGGGAAUUUUCCGCAAUGGGCGAAAGCCUGACGGAGCAACGCCGCGUGAGGGACGAAGGCCUCUGGGCUGUAAACCUCUUUUCUCAAGGAAGAAGAUAUGACGGUACUUGAGGAAUAAGCCACGGCUAAUUCCGUGCCAGCAGCCGCGGUAAUAC
RNAcentral lists this ribosomal RNA (471 nucleotides) under uncultured bacterium. RNAcentral describes it as "bacterial SSU rRNA". It matches the Rfam family "Bacterial small subunit ribosomal RNA", at positions 8 to 526 of the family's 1533-position model. The record is from RNAcentral.